GGGUUGCAAAAGAAGUAGGUAGCUUAACCUUCGGGAGGGCGCUUACCACUUUGUGAUUCAUGACUGGGGUGAAGUCGUAACAAGGUAACCGUAGGGGAACCUGCGGUUGGAUCACCUCCUU
RNAcentral lists this ribosomal RNA (121 nucleotides) under Cronobacter sakazakii. Its description in RNAcentral is "partial 16S ribosomal RNA". It matches the Rfam family "Bacterial small subunit ribosomal RNA", at positions 1412 to 1532 of the family's 1533-position model. Lineage: Bacteria; Pseudomonadati; Pseudomonadota; Gammaproteobacteria; Enterobacterales; Enterobacteriaceae. The record is from RNAcentral.